Molecule: ribosomal RNA, 497 nt
Filed under: uncultured bacterium
Lineage: Bacteria
Description: partial 16S ribosomal RNA
Rfam family: Bacterial small subunit ribosomal RNA
Source: RNAcentral
GAUGAACGCUGGCGGCGUGCCUAAUACAUGCAAGUCGAGCGAACGGACGAGAAGCUUGCUUUUCUGAUGUUAGCGGCGGACGGGUGAGUAACACGUGGAUAACCUACCUAUAAGACUGGGAUAACUUCGGGAAACCGGAGCUAAUACCGGAUAAUAUUUUGAACCGCAUGGUUCAAAAGUGAAAGACGGUCUUGCUGUCACUUAUAGAUGGAUCCGCGCUGCAUUAGCUAGUUGGUAAGGUAACGGCUUACCAAGGCAACGAUGCAUAGCCGACCUGAGAGGGUGAUCGGCCACACUGGAACUGAGACACGGUCCAGACUCAUACGGGAGACAGAAGUAGGGAAGCUUCCGCAAUGGGCGAAAGCCUGACGGAGCAACGCCGCGUGAGUGAUGAAGGUCUUCGGAUCGUAAAACUCUGUUAUUAGGGAAGAACAUAUGUGUAAGUAACUGUGCACAACUUGACGGUACCUAAUCAGAAAGCCACGGCUAACUACGUG